This 466-nucleotide ribosomal RNA is filed under the name uncultured bacterium. RNAcentral describes it as "partial 16S ribosomal RNA". It matches the Rfam family "Bacterial small subunit ribosomal RNA", at positions 28 to 507 of the family's 1533-position model. The record is from RNAcentral.
GAUGAACGCUGGCGGCGUGCUUAACACAUGCAAGUCGAACGGAAAGGCCCUUGCUUGCAGGGGUACUCGAGUGGCGAACGGGUGAGUAACACGUGGGUGAUCUGCCCUGCACUUCGGGAUAAGCCUGGGAAACUGGGUCUAAUACCGGAUAGGACCAUCGUUUAGUGUCGGUGGUGGAAAGUUUUUUCGGUGUGGGAUGAGCUCGCGGCCUAUCAGCUUGUUGGUGGGGUAAUGGCCUACCAAGGCGUCGACGGGUAGCCGGCCUGAGCGGGUGUACGGCCACAUUGGGACUGAGAUACGGCCCAGACUCCUACGGGAGGCAGCAGUGGGGAAUAUUGCACAAUGGGCGCAAGCCUGAUGCAGCGACGCCGCGUGGGGGAUGACGGCCUUCGGGUUGUAAACUCCUUUCGUCAGGGACGAAGCGAAAGUGACGGUACCUGGAUAAGAAGCACCGGCUAACUACGUG